Molecule: ribosomal RNA, 466 nt
Filed under: uncultured bacterium
Lineage: Bacteria
Description: partial 16S ribosomal RNA
Rfam family: Bacterial small subunit ribosomal RNA
Source: RNAcentral
GACGAACGCUGGCGGCGUGCUUAACACAUGCAAGUCGAACGGAAAGGCCUCUUUCGGGGGGUACUCGAGUGGCGAACGGGUGAGUAACACGUGAGUAACCUGCCCUUGACUUUGGGAUAACUUCAGGAAACUGGGGCUAAUACCGGAUAGGAGCUCCUGCUGCAUGGUGGGGGUUGGAAAGUUUCGGCGGUUGGGGAUGGACUCGCGGCUUAUCAGCUUGUUGGUGGGGUAGUGGCCUACCAAGGCUUUGACGGGUAGCCGGCCUGAGAGGGUGACCAGCCACAUUGGGACUGAGAUACGGCCCAGACUCCUACGGGAGGCAGCAGUGGGGAAUAUUGCACAAUGGGUGGAAGCCUGAUGCAGCAACGCCGUGUGCGGGAUGACGGCCUUCGGGUUGUAAACCGCUUUCGCUCAUGACGAAGCUUUGUGUGACGGUAGUGGGUAAAGAAGCACCGGCUAACUACGU